GAUGAACGCUGGCGGCGUGCCUAAUACAUGCCAGUCGAGCGGACAGACGAGGAGCUUGCUCCUCUGAUGUUAGCGGCGGACGGGUGAGUAACACGUGGAUCACCUACCUAUAAGACUGGGAUAACUUCGGAAAACCGGAGCUAAUCCCGUAUAACCUCCUGCACCACAUUGUUCAACAGUGAAAUACGGUCUUGCUGUCACUUCUAGAUGCGUACGCGCCGCUUUAGCUAGUUGGUGAGGUCACGGGCUUCCACGGCAACGAUGCGUCACCGAACUGAGAGGGGGAUCGGCCACACGGGAAGUGAGACACGGUCCAGACUCCUACGGGAGGCAGCAGUAGGGAAUCUGCCGCAAUGGGCGAAAGUCUUGCGGAGCAACGCCGCGUGAGUGAAGAAGGCCUUCGGAGCGUAAAACUCUGUUAUUGGGUAAGAACAAAUGUGUAAGGAAACAUGCACGGCGUGACGGUACCGAAUCAGAAAGCAACGGCUAACUACGUG
RNAcentral lists this ribosomal RNA (497 nucleotides) under uncultured bacterium. RNAcentral describes it as "partial 16S ribosomal RNA". It matches the Rfam family "Bacterial small subunit ribosomal RNA", at positions 28 to 507 of the family's 1533-position model. The record is from RNAcentral.